AGCUUAUUAAGAGAAGUUGAGGGAUUUGGCCCAGUGACACUUCAGCAACCACUUAUCAUUAUAAGUACGGUGCUACAACCAACCACGUUAUGUGGAUGAUAAGUU
RNAcentral lists this non-coding RNA (105 nucleotides) under Staphylococcus pseudintermedius. RNAcentral describes it as "SAM-I sequence". It matches the Rfam family "SAM riboswitch aptamer (S box leader)". Rfam says of the family: The SAM riboswitch is found upstream of a number of genes which code for proteins involved in methionine or cysteine biosynthesis in Gram-positive bacteria. The SAM riboswitch acts at the level of transcription termination control. The predicted structure consists of a complex stem-loop region followed by a single stem loop terminator region. The record is from RNAcentral. Lineage: Bacteria; Bacillati; Bacillota; Bacilli; Caryophanales; Staphylococcaceae.